Molecule: ribosomal RNA, 253 nt
Filed under: uncultured bacterium
Lineage: Bacteria
Description: partial 16S ribosomal RNA
Rfam family: Bacterial small subunit ribosomal RNA
Source: RNAcentral
GACGGAGGGGGCUAGCGUUGUUCGGAAUGACUGGGCGUAAAGAGCACGUAGGUGGUUAAUUAAGUCAGGCGUGAAAGCCCCGAGCUUAACUCGGGAAUAGCGCUUGAGACUGGUUAACUUGAGUUCGAUAGGGGAAAGUGGAAUUCCUAGUGUAGAGGUGAAAUUCGUAGAUAUUAGGAGGAACACCAGAGGCGAAGGCGACUUUCUGGAUCGACACUGACAAUGAGGUGCGAAAGCGUGGGGAGCAAACAGG